GAUGAAGAACGUAGCGAAAUGCGAUACGUAAUGUGAAUUGCAGAAUUCAGUGAAUCAUCGAAUCUUUGAACGCAUAUUGCGCUCUUUGGUAUUCCGAAGAGCAUGCUUGUUUGAGUAUCAGUAAACACCUCAAAGCUUUUGGAUUUUUUAAUCGAAAAGCUUUGGACUUGGGCAAUCCCAACACCAAUCUUUUUGAGAUCGGUGGCGGGUUGCUUGAAAUGCAGGUGCAGCUGGACAUUCUCCUGAGCUAAAAGCAUAUUCAUUUAGUCCCGUCAAACGGAUUAUUACUUUUGCUGCAGCUAACAUAAAGGGAGUUUGACCGUAUUGGCUGACUGAUGCAGGAUUUCACAAGGGUCGGCAACGAUUCUUGUUAAACUCGAUCUCAAAUCAAGUAAGACUACCCGCUGAACUUAAGCAUAUCAAUAAGCGGAGGA
RNAcentral lists this unclassified non-coding RNA (434 nucleotides) under soil metagenome. Its description in RNAcentral is "partial contains 5.8S ribosomal RNA, internal transcribed spacer 2, and large subunit ribosomal RNA". The stretch from base 1 to 120 matches the Rfam family "5.8S ribosomal RNA", at positions 35 to 154 of the family's 154-position model. The record is from RNAcentral.